UACGUAGGGGCCGAGCGUUGUUCGGAAUUACUGGGCGUAAAGGGCGCGUAGGCGGCCUGCUAAGUCGAACGUGAAAUCCCUGGGCUCAACCCAGGAACUGCGUCCGAUACUGGUUGGCUUGAAUCCGGGAGAGGGAUGUGGAAUUCCAGGUGUAGCGGUGAAAUGCGUAGAUAUCUGGAGGAACACCGGUGGCGAAGGCGACAUCCUGGACCGGUAUUGACGCUGAGGCGCGAAAGCCAGGGGAGCAAACGGG
RNAcentral lists this ribosomal RNA (253 nucleotides) under uncultured bacterium. RNAcentral's name for it is "partial 16S ribosomal RNA". It matches the Rfam family "Bacterial small subunit ribosomal RNA", at positions 524 to 776 of the family's 1533-position model. The record is from RNAcentral.